CCUACGGGAGGCUGCAGUGAGGAAUAUUGGUCAAUGGUCGGGAGACUGAACCAGCCAAGCCGCGUGAGGGAUGAAGGUACAGAGUAUCGUAAACCUCUUUUGACAGGGAACAAAGGCGGGGACGUGUCCCCGGAUGAGUGUACCUGAAGAAAAAGCAUCGGCUAACUCCGUGCCAGCAGCCGCGGUAAUACGGAGGAUGCGAGCGUUAUCCGGAUUUAUGGGGUUUAAAGGGUGCGCAGGCGGUCUGUUAAGUAAGCGGUCAAAGCCCGGGGCUCAACCCCGGCCCGCCGUUGAAACUGGCAGUCUCGAGUUGGAGAGAAGUAUGCGGAAUGCGCGGUGUAGCGGUGAAAUGCAUAGAUAUCGCGCAGAACUCCGAUUGCGAAGGCAGCAUGCCGGCUCCACACUGACGCUGAGGCACGAAAGCGUGGGUAUCGAACAGGAUUAGAUACCCCUGUAGUC
RNAcentral lists this ribosomal RNA (459 nucleotides) under uncultured bacterium. RNAcentral's name for it is "partial 16S ribosomal RNA". It matches the Rfam family "Bacterial small subunit ribosomal RNA", at positions 338 to 795 of the family's 1533-position model. The record is from RNAcentral.